Molecule: long non-coding RNA, 175 nt
Organism: Ixodes scapularis (black-legged tick)
Lineage: Eukaryota; Metazoa; Arthropoda; Arachnida; Ixodida; Ixodidae
Exons: 3
Source: RefSeq, a predicted model, not a curated record
CCGUUCACCAACAAGUUAUUCCUCUCAAGAGCAGACACACGGCAGUCACUGUGAAUCUCAUGGAGAGCUGUCAUCUCGGCACCGUUCACCAACCAGUCAUUUCUCUCAAGAGUGGACACAUGUCAGCCGCCAUGAAUCUCGUGGAGAGCUGUCACCUCAGCACCGUUCAGCACCC